UGAGGAGCUAAUGUGAUCUGGCAUGCCGUAAUACCACCACACACUGAAAAUCUUUCCUUUGUGUUGUGUGCAUGGUGAAAAAAACAGUCUGCAUUAAAAGGGUCAGUAGGCUACUCAUGGUUCCAGAUGGCUGCUUUAUAAACACACUUUUUUUUUUUCCCAGAGAAGAUUCAGAUACAAUUAUGAGAGCCAUAAUUCACUAGAGACUCCUCUUACUACUCUCUUGGAAGGUCUUUUGCCUGGAGGAAAUGUGAACUGUAAUCAUUCUUGCUUUUUUUUUUUUUUUGCGGCAUAUAUCUGGGUCAGAAAAAAUAAGCAAGCUGAAGAGAAUAACAAAAACACACACAAAGGAAUCUCCCCAUGUCUCUGUCCGUCAUCCAUUUCAUUCCGUCACCCUGUUGUGUUUAUCAAACCCGUGACCUUACCAGCUGAGCUACAGGAAUGGCAAGUUCAGUUAAUUUGUUUGUUAGAACAAUACACUGAACUACGAGAAUACUUGAUUGACCUGAACUACAAGACACAACCAUCUUCUUCUACACCUGGAAACAAUACCUUGCCAAAACUGAAUGACACUGCACUGGUUUUGAGAUGAGUCAAGGACAGAUGCUGGGUGGACCACGACUGCAUCUGUUCAGUGUAUAUGCGCCAAAUUCAAGGGAAGAGUGAAGAACCGUUUGAAGCAGGAUCUCACCUGUGUGCUAGAGCAGAUGGGAUGGCCAGAGGAAACAGAGACAGGGUCAUUCCUAGAUCACUCACAGACAGGUUCACGACGAAAAAC
Labeo rohita (rohu) is the source of this 778-nucleotide long non-coding RNA. RefSeq lists it as uncharacterized. The transcript has 3 exons. The record is from RefSeq and is a predicted model, not a curated record. NCBI's taxonomy places the organism in Eukaryota, Metazoa, Chordata, Actinopteri, Cypriniformes, Cyprinidae.